AUACGUAGGGGGCAAGCGUUGUCCGGAAUUACUGGGCGUAAAGAGCUCGUAGGCGGCUCAGCAAGUCGGUCGUGAAAGCCCGAGGCUCAACCUCGGAACUGCGGUCGAUACUGCUGUGGCUAGAGUCCGGUAGAGGAGAGUGGAAUUCCCGGUGUAGCGGUGGAAUGCGCAGAUAUCGGGAGGAACACCAGUGGCGAAGGCGGCUCUCUGGGCCGGUACUGACGCUGAGGAGCGAAAGCGUGGGGAGCAAACAGGAUUAGAUACCCUUGUAGUCC
Molecule: ribosomal RNA, 275 nt
Filed under: uncultured bacterium
Lineage: Bacteria
Description: partial 16S ribosomal RNA
Rfam family: Bacterial small subunit ribosomal RNA
Source: RNAcentral